This 439-nucleotide ribosomal RNA is filed under the name uncultured bacterium. Its description in RNAcentral is "partial 16S ribosomal RNA". It matches the Rfam family "Bacterial small subunit ribosomal RNA", at positions 339 to 795 of the family's 1533-position model. The record is from RNAcentral.
CUACGGGCGGCAGCAGUGAGGAAUAUUGCACAAUGGGGGGAACCCUGAUGCAGCAACGCCGCGUGGAGGAUGACGCAUUUCGGUGUGUAAACCCCUUUUAUAUGUCAAGAAAAUGACGGUAGCAUAUGAAUAAGCACCGGCUAACUCCGUGCCAGCAGCCGCGGUAAUACGGAGGGUGCAAGCGUUACUAGGAAUCACUGGGCGUAAAGGACGCGUAGGCGGGUUGGAAAGUCAGGUGUGAAAUCCUACAGCUUAACUGUAGAACUGCACUUGAAACUUCUAAUCUAGAGUAUGGGAGGGGGAGAUGGAAUUAGUGGUGUAGGGGUAAAAUCCGUAGAUAUCACUAGGAAUACCUAAAGCGAAGGCGAUCUCCUGGAACAUUACUGACGCUAAGGCGUGAAAGCGUGGGGAGCAAACAGGAUUAGAUACCCUAGUAGUC